CGUAGGAGGCAAGCGUUAUCCGGAUUCACUGGGCGUAAAGCGCGUGCAGGUGGCGCGGUAAGUUAGGCGUGAAAUCUCCCGGCUCAACUGGGAGAGGUCGUCUAAUACUACCGUGCUAGAGAGCAGAAGAGGAAGAUGGAAUUCCCGGUGUAGUGGUGAAAUGCGUAGAUAUCGGGAGGAACACCAGUGGCGAAGGCGAUCUUCUGGUCUGUUUCUGACACUCAGACGCGACAGCUAGGGUAGUAAACGGGAUUAGAGACCCCGGUAAUCCUAGCCGUAAACGAUGUGAACUUGGCGUUGGUGGGUUAAACUCCAUCAGUGCCGUAGCAAACGCGAUAAGUUCACCGCCUGGGGACUACGGCCGCAAGGUUA
Molecule: ribosomal RNA, 372 nt
Filed under: uncultured organism
Description: bacterial SSU rRNA
Rfam family: Bacterial small subunit ribosomal RNA
Source: RNAcentral